AGGGCAUUAGCUCAUUUGGUAAGAGCGCCUGCUUUGCAACGGGAGGUGGCCAGUUCAGGCCCGGCAUGCUCUU
This 73-nucleotide transfer RNA is filed under the name bacterium. RNAcentral's name for it is "tRNA-OTHER". It matches the Rfam family "tRNA". From Rfam's summary of the family: Transfer RNA (tRNA) molecules are approximately 80 nucleotides in length. The record is from RNAcentral.